Molecule: long non-coding RNA, 1947 nt
Organism: Loxodonta africana (African savanna elephant)
Lineage: Eukaryota; Metazoa; Chordata; Mammalia; Proboscidea; Elephantidae
Exons: 3
Source: RefSeq, a predicted model, not a curated record
UUUUUUUUUUUUCUCGGUGAGUGACAGCUCGCAACACUGGCCCCACUGUGUAUAUGAUACAGGGCUGAAGCAGAGCUCCUUUUCUAGGAAGGGCUCAUUCUGUGUUAACAGCACAGGUGCCCCAUCGGAGAGCUGACCUCCCUCAUCUGGAUGCACAGAGCCUUCUGGAAGCCACUGGGUAGGACAGAAACAACACACCAAAGAGUAUUAACCAAGCGCCCGAAGUGUGUCAGGCACUGGGAAGAGCAGUGAAGACACUGAUACAGCAUUUACACAUCACAAGAGAAACAAAGUACUUUCAGAUUGUGAUAACCCAGGAAGUACACAGGAUGUGGAGUGACCUCAGAGGGAGGUGGGGAGUUACUUCCGCUGAGAUCUGAAGGAGAGCAGGGGGAGAAGGUCUGCAAACUGGUGUGCUGGAGGAACGGGACAGAAGCCAAGGUGGCUACCACAGAGAAACAAGAGGUAGACGGAAGGGCAGACAAGGGCUAGACCACACAGACACCGGUAUGGAUUUGGGCUUUAAAAAUGCUAAAGAUAAUGGCACUCAGCAGACCGGACGCUUCAGUACCCGACCAUUACCUAUGAUGUUGUGCCGACAGUGGGGGCAGGUGUGGUGCUGCAGCAGCCACGGGUCCACGCACUUCUUGUGGAACCGGGCCUGCACAGCCAGCCUGUUCAUGGAAUUCUGCAAGGCAGAAUGUGGCCGGUAUCAGGGUCUGGUUGUCACCCUCACGGACAUGGCACUAUGUGUACUGGGACAGCAAACACCAAUUUCUAUCAGGCCAGAAGAGACUUUUGAAAAAAUCAUGAAACAUUCAGACUGCCACAAGCACACUGGCAAAGGUCAGCUUCAACAACCAGCCCUGCUGCCCCCCAAUUCUGUAAGACCCUGAGUUAUUCACCAAAUGUAUGUCAAGGGUUCCUCCUCUUUACGCUGAAGGAAGUUGUGAGGAUACAUGAGAUAAUGCGUGUGAGUGCUUUGUUGCCAUUAGCUGUCGCUGGGUCAAAGUGUUGGGAUUCAUAAGGUUCACACUGGCUGAUUUUCACAAGUAGGUCACCAGGCUUUUCUUCCUCGUCUGUCUUGGCCUGGAAGCCCCACUGAAAGCUGCUCAAUAUCAUAGCAACACAUAAGCCUCCACCGACAGACGGAUGGUGGCUGUGCUUGAAAAGUGCUGGCUGGAAACGAAACCCGGGUCUACUGCACGGAAGGUGAGUAUGAGUGCUUAGCUCCUGGCAGAUGGGUUGCUCUCAAUGCCAGGCACUGUCCUGUUAGUGGCCACUUGACCCUCGUGGGAGCCCAGAGAGUCUCCUUUCCUGGGACUGCCUGCCACGUCCACCAUCUCUCUCCUGAGACACCACACUGCUACCCGUUUGAGACUCAAGCUUCCUGCUUAUCCGCUCACCACCCCAUCCCCAAAGCUUUCCUUCCUACCAGCACAUAAGCACGUGCCCGCUGGAGCACGAAAGGCGCUGCUCUGUUCCUCAAGAAGCACCUGGGCAGCUUGAUAAAUGCAGAUUCCAACUCAGUUGAUCCGGGCCUGAGACUCUGCAUUUCUAUCAUGCUCCCAGGUGAUGCUGAAGCAACAGCGCUCUGGGGCUCCACAUUCACAGGUAGGCAUUUCUUUGGACAAACUCUCUGGCUGGAAACACCCCUGGUACUUAACGCUUCUAGGAAAACCCCUUCUAGAGCACAGGAGGCAUGGUGCUGAAAGCUCUGCUCUUAUUUUUCUCCAUCUUGGCUGUUUUUAGGCCCUAGGAACAGGCUCUGGAACCCAGCACCCAUGGCCGUCAGGCUCAAAUACAGAGCCAUCAAAUACUAGGCAGACGGGAGUCCCGCUUUCACCAGCAACGGGGCCAUAGGAAGCAGCCUUCACAGGCUGUGCUGAGAUGUUACCUGACUGCGCCGCUGCUUCAGCUUAAUUUUGACAAGAAGGAUCAGGCAAA